GGCCCAAAUUUGAAGUGGAGUAGAUAAGUAGGAUUGGCUGACCCUACUAGACUACUCUACUUCAAGUUUGUGCCC
Molecule: non-coding RNA, 75 nt
Organism: Haemonchus placei
Lineage: Eukaryota; Metazoa; Nematoda; Chromadorea; Rhabditida; Trichostrongylidae
Source: Rfam